RNAcentral lists this ribosomal RNA (253 nucleotides) under uncultured bacterium. RNAcentral describes it as "partial 16S ribosomal RNA". It matches the Rfam family "Bacterial small subunit ribosomal RNA", at positions 524 to 776 of the family's 1533-position model. The record is from RNAcentral.
UACGAAGGGGGCUAGCGUUGCUCGGAAUCACUGGGCGUAAAGCGCACGUAGGCGGCUUUUUAAGUCAGGGGUGAAAUCCUGGAGCUCAACUCCAGAACUGCCUUUGAUACUGAGAAGCUUGAGUCCGGGAGAGGUGAGUGGAAUUCCUAGUGUAGAGGUGAAAUUCGUAGAUAUUAGGAAGAACACCAGUGGCGAAGGCGGCUCACUGGCCCGGUACUGACGCUGAGGCGCGAAAGCGUGGGGAGCAAACAGG